RNAcentral lists this non-coding RNA (24 nucleotides) under Cricetulus griseus (Chinese hamster). Lineage: Eukaryota; Metazoa; Chordata; Mammalia; Rodentia; Cricetidae. The record is from RNAcentral.
CUCAGACUGGAAAGGCGGACGGCA